UACGGGGGGGGCAAGCGUUGUUCGGAAUUACUGGGCGUAAAGGGCUCGUAGGCGGCCAACUAAGUCAGACGUGAAAUCCCUCGGCUUAACCGGGGAACUGCGUCUGAUACUGGAUGGCUUGAGUUUGGGAGAGGGAUGCGGAAUUCCAGGUGUAGCGGUGAAAUGCGUAGAUAUCUGGAGGAACACCGGUGGCGAAGGCGGCAUCCUGGACCAACACUGACGCUGAGGAGCGAAAGCCAGGGGAGCAAACGGGG
Molecule: ribosomal RNA, 254 nt
Filed under: uncultured bacterium
Lineage: Bacteria
Description: partial 16S ribosomal RNA
Rfam family: Bacterial small subunit ribosomal RNA
Source: RNAcentral